UUACUACAUAGAUUACAUUUCCUUAGGAAGAUAAAAAAAUAUCUGAAAGGAAAAGAAAUAAAUUUCCCCAAAAUACAUGUAAAAACACAAAGAAUUUAUACACAAAGGAUUUUCUUCAAUUCAAGUAUGAUAAAAUAGCUGGUAUCAGAAUAACUUUCUUGGCAAAAAUAAUUAUCAAAGAGACAAAAUAAAAGAAAAUCAUCUGAAGGAAAUGGAAAAAUAAAGUAUCAAAAAGACUACUAUCUUUGAAAAAAGAGAAGCAGCACAGCUGGUGAAAUCUGCUUAACCCUAUCUUUUCUGAGGCCAUUCCCAGGUUCUUCCUGCAGGAGUCUAGAACCCAAGAUGACUAUGAUCUCACUUGGAAGGGAAGACAGAAGUCAGACUUUGGGAGGCAAAGCAGAUGAAAAGUGAAGGACACAGUAAUGAACGUACUGCUUAGGGGACUGUGGAAGGAAACCCCCAAAUCUGCAUACUAGCACACUCUAUUGUAAACAACUAGUCCAUUUGCAACCCACGUAUGGGGAGAACACACCUCCCAUGGACUGUUUAUCUUGGGUGGUUAAUGAUCUUGAAUCCAACAUCUACCAAGGAAAUAAGUGCUUUCCUAAUUUCAAGCAACUAUGAUAGAAUUGCUGUGUUCUUCUACACUCAUUUGCCAGAAGGUGGAACUGGAAGUCACAUAUAUGACUAUGAAUGGAAAUUAAAAGGGAAACUCAACAAAAG
RNAcentral lists this long non-coding RNA (723 nucleotides) under Vulpes vulpes (red fox). Its description in RNAcentral is "lncRNA (ENSVVUG00000021034.1)". The record is from RNAcentral. Lineage: Eukaryota; Metazoa; Chordata; Mammalia; Carnivora; Canidae.